Molecule: unclassified non-coding RNA, 2193 nt
Filed under: Hevea brasiliensis (rubber tree)
Lineage: Eukaryota; Viridiplantae; Streptophyta; Magnoliopsida; Malpighiales; Euphorbiaceae
Source: RNAcentral
GGAACAAAAAGACAGCCUCUAAGAGAACUGAAGAAAAUGCCACUUCCACGUAAGCAAUAAAGUUUAAAACUGUUCCAUUGAUUCAAUGAAUUUACAUGAUUCCGAAAUUAAUAAUAUAUAUAUCUUUUUCCUAAUUGUACAUUCGAAAACUCAAGCCAAGAGCACGACUUCUCACUGACCAUACUGUACUUUCAGUUGACAAAAAAGAAGGGGAAAGAAAGAUGGACACUGUUCCUAAUGCAACUCCGAGAAAAAACCAUUGCCACACGCAAUGAAUUUACAUAAAGAUUCCAAAAAUAACUAAGAAUUUUGCUUUUCCUAAUUGUACAUUCGACAACUCAAGCCAAGAGAAUAACUUCACCUCGUGAACAUUGUUCAUAAAUCUCUUUCACUAACUGAAGCAUGGAGUCCGUGUCUUCUGCCAUCUUUGAUACUCUUUCUGCCUCCUUAACAGCUUCAGCAGCCAAAAAUGAUUUAUUUUCUGCUUCAGCAACUUUGUAAGCAGCAGCUAUUGCUGCUUCCUCCACUGUCUCACCAGAGACUAAUCCAGAAUUCUGUGACUGCCUUGGCCUUACUUCUUUUUGUUUUGGGGUUGGUGUUUUUGUUCCCAAUGAAGCAUCUUUACUGAUUCUAUAGUAAUUUUGGACCUGCAAGUUGAUGAUAUGCAGAAAGUAAGAAGCAAUCAAAUAAACCACCAGUAAAUUGCAUGCACCAAAUAAAAAACCAUAGAAGAAAAUUCCAACAUGACAAAAACUUUAAUGUAUACAAUGCAGCAAUGACAACUGUACUUGAAGUGUUGUGAUUAUAUUUUAACAAAUGUCAUGACAUUAUAACUACACAUAAAAAUUGGGAAACCAAAGCUGAUUAAAGCAGAUGCAAUUCAUUGUAGUAUCCUGAAAAUAUCUUUCACCUUUUCCAAUUUGCCUUGUGAAACAAGCCUCCUCAACCUUGAACUUAAUAACCUUCUAAAAUUUUGUGGCACCUCAUGCCUUUGCUGCACCACAUGUAUAUCUGGUCAUAAUCUGAACUCGUAUGAAAUUAAAUAGAGACAAAAUAAGAGUCAAGUUACCAAAGAAUAACAAAAUAUUGGCCCAUAUUUAUGGUUCGACCCUUGUGCCAUGCAGCUCAUGUAAGGAUAAAAACAGUGAAGUGAAGAAAUAAGGAGCAGCAGCACAUCAAAAUUCAACGUGGCGGUACGGUUGUAUUUUGCUUGUGUUUGAAGGUAAAAUUCAUUAGCUGGACAAUUACACCAAUAUUAGAUGAAACUUGUCCAAAACUUAACCCCCUGAAUUGCAUUUUAUUAUCUUUGAGUGAAAUGUAAGUCCCAGCAGACAAUCAAAGGUUUCCACUCUCUUUCAAUUCCCUCCCCACCCCAACACCAAAAACUUAAAAAACAGAGAGCGAGCAGUGAAUUUCUACCUUCAAGUAUUAUGUGCUACACAAAGGACAAGCAAUGGCCAAGAGAUAUAUUACAGUCUUUACUGUCUUAUACAAAAGUGACAUUUACAUUGCCUUAAGUCCAUCCUGGCACCCUGUGUCUUAUAGUAUCAUAUAGGUAAUGAAAAUUCUUAUUAUGUUGUGACACAGCACUAGAAAUCCCAUGGUAAAAUCACACUAACAAAGUUCUGACAUUAGAAGUAGGACAAAUAAGGAAAAACAACCCAUGAUUGAAAAUAUUUAAGCUUUGAAGAGCAAUAAUAGAGGGAUUUGAAAAUCAUUUCGUGCAGCCAGAUAUCAAAACAAAUUGUAUUCCCAUAUCCUUUAAGAUGUUUAAGCCCGAGGCUAGACAGGAUUCGGUUUUCUUACCCAGAACCCAGUUUUCCAACACAGUAAAACUUGACACAGGUCAUAGGUACAUUGGGAACAAAAACAACAAGGAAGAUAACAAGAGGAAUCCAUCUUACCUCAAUAAAGUGAACAAUAGCACUAGUAUCACAUCCAUUUGUGUCUUUUAUGGUUGAAAGAGCUUCAAAAAUCAUUGCAUUGUACCUGGUGGGCAGAACAAUAGUGGGCAGAACAAUAGUAUGAAAUUCCUAUAAAUAGGAAAAAGAAAGAAGAAACCAAAUGUUUUAUGAUAACUAGUCUCAUAUAUAUCAAAAUGGUUCCACAGAUUUGAUUAGCAAAUGUAAAUGGAAAGGACUAAAUGCCGCUGAGAGGAGUACAGAGGCAUUCCAAAAACAGCAUCAAUAUAGU